This 301-nucleotide ribosomal RNA is filed under the name uncultured bacterium. RNAcentral describes it as "partial 16S ribosomal RNA". It matches the Rfam family "Bacterial small subunit ribosomal RNA", at positions 509 to 807 of the family's 1533-position model. The record is from RNAcentral.
CAGCAGCCACGGUAACACGUAGGUGGCAAGCGUUGUCCGGAAUUAUUGGGCGUAAAGGGCUCGCAGGCGGUUUCUUAAGUCUGAUGUGAAAGCCCCCGGCUCAACCGGGGAGGGUCAUUGGAAACUGGGAAACUUGAGUGCAGAAGAGGAGAGUGGAAUUCCACGUGUAGCGGUGAAAUGCGUAGAGAUGUGGAGGAACACCAGUGGCGAAGGCGACUCUCUGGUCUGUAACUGACGCUGGGGAGCGAAAGCGUGGGGAGCGGACAGGAUUAGAUACCCGGGUAGUCCCUGUCUCUUAUAC